UGGGGAAUUUUGGACAAUGGGCGAAAGCCUGAUCCAGCAAUGCCGCGUGUGUGAAGAAGGCCUUCGGGUUGUAAAGCACUUUUGUCCGGAAAGAAAUCCUUGGCUCUAAUACAGUCGGGGGAUGACGGUACCGGAAGAAUAAGCACCGGCUAACUACGUGCCAGCAGCCGCGGUAAUACGUAGGGUGCAAGCGUUAAUCGGGAUUACUGGGCGUAAAGCGUGCGCAGGCGGUUUGCUAAGACCGAUGUGAAAUCCCCGGGCUCAACCUGGGAACUGCAUUGGUGACUGGCAGGCUAGAGUAUGGCAGAGGGGGGUAGAAUUCCACGUGUAGCAGUGAAAUGCGUAGAGAUGUGGAGGAAUACCGAUGGCGAAGGCAGCCCCCUGGGCCAAUACUGACGCUCAUGCACGAAAGCGUGGGGAGCAAACAGGAUUAGAUACCCUGGUAGUCCACGCCCUAAACGAUGUCAACUAGUUGUUGGGGAUUCAUUUCCUAGUAACGUAGCUAACGCGUGAAGUUGACCGCCUGGGGAGUACGGUCGCAAGAUU
Molecule: ribosomal RNA, 546 nt
Filed under: uncultured bacterium
Lineage: Bacteria
Description: partial 16S ribosomal RNA
Rfam family: Bacterial small subunit ribosomal RNA
Source: RNAcentral